Molecule: transfer RNA, 70 nt
Filed under: Dipodomys ordii (Ord's kangaroo rat)
Lineage: Eukaryota; Metazoa; Chordata; Mammalia; Rodentia; Heteromyidae
Rfam family: tRNA
About the family: Transfer RNA (tRNA) molecules are approximately 80 nucleotides in length. Their secondary structure includes four short double-helical elements and three loops (D, anti-codon, and T loops).
Source: Rfam by way of RNAcentral
GGGAAGGUGGCUCAGUGGUAGAGUGCUUGCCCCGCAAGCAUGAGACCCUGGGUUCGAUUCCUCCGCACCA